CGCUGGCGGCAUGCCUUACACAUGCAAGUCGAACGGCAGCACGGAGCUUGCUCUGGUGGCGAGUGGCGAACGGGUGAGUAAUAUAUCGGAACGUACCCAAGAGUGGGGGAUAACGUAGCGAAAGUUACGCUAAUACCGCAUACGAUCUCAGGAUGAAAGCAGGGGACCGCAAGGCCUUGUGCUCCUGGAGCGGCCGAUAUCUGAUUAGCUAGUUGGUGGGGUAAAGGCCCACCAAGGCAACGAUCAGUAGCUGGUCUGAGAGGACGACCAGCCACACUGGAACUGAGACACGGUCCAGACUCCUACGGGAGGCAGCAGUGGGGAAUUUUGGACAAUGGGGGCAACCCUGAUCCAGCAAUGCCGCGUGAGUGAAGAAGGCCUUCGGGUUGUAAAGCUCUUUUGUCAGGGAAGAAAAGGCUGCAGCAAAUAUCUGCGGCUCAUGACGGUACCUGAAGAAUAAGCACC
RNAcentral lists this ribosomal RNA (465 nucleotides) under uncultured bacterium. Its description in RNAcentral is "bacterial SSU rRNA". It matches the Rfam family "Bacterial small subunit ribosomal RNA", at positions 34 to 494 of the family's 1533-position model. The record is from RNAcentral.